GAUCUUCACUUUUAACAAACUGAGGUGCAGAAUGGCCUGACAGCAGCUAUCUAUCCAACAGUCAUGUCCCAGGCCGGAAUCCUCCCAUCCAGGGAGGGACCACUUCCUGCCUGACAUCAAGGACAGGGCCAGCGGGGGUGGUCUCCUGGGGUUGCUGGCCCUGAGAAGGCCAAAGUCCCGGGGCUGCUCAGGCAGGAAAGUCGCGCUUCACAGCUCCACUGACUGUCCCUGCGGGGUGGCACGGCACUCAUGCCCAGCAACAGAGACACAGAGAUGGGCCUCUGAGUGUGAGGAUGCUCACGAUGAACGAGGUGCAGCUGCAACUGGCUCUGGAGGUAAGAAAACAGUAGCUGCCUACAAGCCAGGAAGAGAGGCCUCGCCGGAAAUCAACUCUUAACGACACCUUGGUCUUGGAUGUCCAGCCUCCAGAACUUUGAGAAAAUAACUUUCUGUUAUUGAAACCACCCAGUCUGUGGGAUUUUGUUAUGGCAGCCCCAGCAGACUAAGGCACAGGCCCUAAGCUAGAUACUUUCAUCCCGGCUUCUCUACUCAGCUCUCGGACAGCCCUGUGAGGGGGGCAUCGUCCUGGCUGUCCUGGUCUCACCAAGAAGGUGCAAGACUUCAAGAAGCUGCAGGCGGUUCUGUGACUGGAUCAAGUUUGCAGAGCUA
Molecule: non-coding RNA, 669 nt
Filed under: Pongo abelii (Sumatran orangutan)
Lineage: Eukaryota; Metazoa; Chordata; Mammalia; Primates; Hominidae
Source: RNAcentral